Brassica napus (rape) is the source of this 2115-nucleotide long non-coding RNA. RefSeq lists it as uncharacterized. The record is from RefSeq and is a predicted model, not a curated record. NCBI's taxonomy places the organism in Eukaryota, Viridiplantae, Streptophyta, Magnoliopsida, Brassicales, Brassicaceae. The transcript has 3 exons.
UAAGAAAUAUAUAUUUAUGCAUGUUUGAUUAUAUCUAAUUUCUGAUCAUAUAAACUAAAUUUUGUAUAAAACCAAACAAACCAAAAAUAAAUAGUAUAUAAACUGAACCAAAUUAAAUUAGUUAUAAUUCCAAUAUAGUAGCUAAUUUUAAUAAACCGAAAUACUAAAAACCAAAAAAGAAUAUGAACCGAAAUGAGACCAAAAUCUGGAUUAGACCAAAAUCCGGAUUGAACAGAGGCUUACAAGUAAAUCUAUAUAUAUAAAACAGGCUUUGGAUCCCUCCCAGGUAUGCCACAUGUGCAUCCACGUCACAAAUUAGUCUUUCCUGCGCGCGACACAUGUCCUCUGCACUGCGUUUCAUUAAAGUGAGUUUAUGAUGUUUCGGGCUUGGAGUUGGGCAUGCCGUUGCGCUUCGUCUACGGCCCAUCGAACACAAUCUCUUACGGAAACCCUAAUCAGUCUCUACGCUCUUCUUUGUGUUCUUCAUUCGCCUUCUAUCAGCACAGGGAUGAUCCAGAAUCUGUAACGGUGUUUGUGAUUUAAAGGUCUUAAAUCGUCUUCAAUCACCAUCCCACUACGAAUCUGAUGCAAUCUCACCGGUGCGAAUCGCGUUAUCUACACUUUUAUAAUCUCACAUCUCACUCAUACUCGAAUCUUACCCCUCAUCUCUCUCAAUGGCUAUGACAAAGGUUUUCUUUUCCGAUCUCAAGUCUGUGCGGUGCUCAUCAGUUGUGGAGGCGAGACUGCUUCGAUUCUGGGAGUCUAAGAACGUUAAGCAUGGUGGGGAGCUAAUGUGGAUGGAUCUGCUCAUGCCAGAGACUGGAUGCUAUUUGGGUUCUUAUUUGUAGUUUUCUGGGCUAUUAGUCUGGUAUUCAUACGUGUCUUAUAUUUUAUUUGAUUCCCUUCCCCUUCUCGAUUUUGCGUUUUCCUUCACCUCCCCCACAAAGUUCCUUUUGCAAAAUGGUUGUAGUUAUGGCAUUCAAUCAUCAAUCCCCACUACGUCUGCUUCAUUGCUUAUUAACAACAUUUUCAUCAUCGCUCUUGGACAAUCUUUACCUUCUAAAUCAGAAAACUCUUAAUAGUUUUAUCUUAUCCACGACAAUGGCAACUCGACGGCCCCACUUCUAUGAGCUAAAGGCUGGCCGCUGCAGUUAGAGUGUUAUCAUGAGGCUUCUUUGUUUCUGGGAAGCUCGAAACUUUAAGAAAGGUGGAGAGUUGCAGCCGUUGAUGUGGUACUGGUAGAUGAGAAGGUAACAACUCUUGGUCUUGAUUUCGCUUUGAUAACAUGCAUCCUUACGAAAUAAGCUGAUUACGUGUUAUGUUCAAGUGGGUUGCAGUCCGCUUUCAUCCAUGCCUCAAUCAAUUUUCAUCGGCUCAUACUUUCAGAAACAUCCUGAAGGAAGGCGGGCUCUUUGACCUAAGUCUGUUUGAUGUAUCAAGGAGCAACCAAAGCUUUUGACUGUCAAAAUUCAAAUACAUAUCUACCAUUGCCUCUCAUGUUUUUCUGCGACACUUCCAGGUUCUAGCCACUCACAAUCUGUACGGACGUCACAGGAGCUUUGUUCGUUGGACGAGGAGUGCUGCUAUGUCGCAAGAUAGUGCAACUGCUGGCUCUGCUUCUGGAGCUAGACCAUUUUGCUCCCUUGAAGAGGCUUGAUGUACCGAUUACUGACUAGACAAAAUUCAAACGACAUACAAUGAAGAUACACAUAAAACUGAGGGUAUUAAUACUACCAUUCGCUUCAAAGGUCUGUCCAACUACUGUCAUAUAUGUUGUUUGGCUAAUUAAUAGAUUAGUUUUGUCAAUUUGAAACUUUUCACUCACCUUACGCUUUACUUUACUCAGGCUAAUGCCGGACUGACGACGGUUCGUCAACAUGGAGGAGUCCAUGAUAUUGUUUUAUAUUUUCACAGUUACUCUAAUCCUUUUUUUUAUUUAAUUCCAAAAAUUUGUAGCAUCAAUAUGUUCCAGUUCAUGUCUUUUCUGUCGGUGUUUUGAAUUUGCCUCUCUAAAACAUUUUCGUACCCAUCAAAAAAAUAUGGUUAAAAAGUUUAAAAAGUUCACCUCAUCUUCGAAUUGAAAAAUUCAUAUCUUCACUUGGAAAUUAAAAUUCG